This is a long non-coding RNA of Alligator sinensis (Chinese alligator), 280 nucleotides long. RefSeq lists it as uncharacterized. The transcript is spliced from 3 exons. Lineage: Eukaryota; Metazoa; Chordata; Crocodylia; Alligatoridae. The record is from RefSeq and is a predicted model, not a curated record.
GUAAGGGGGACAGCAGCCGAAGGGGAAGGAGUGCCUCCGAGAGCUCUGCAGAGAAGCUGGGUGAGCAGCCCAAAGGCGGGAACUACAGAAGCUGUGGAGGGACGGCAGCUGCACCACAGCAAGGACUGUAGGGAACUGAAGCACGAACCCGGCGAAUAUCUUAGUUUGAAGGAAACAACUAGUUCUGAACGUCUAUCAGAAAGGAUUGACUCCUUCUGGUUGUCCUGGGAAAUCUGGCUGGAAUUUUCUUUGUCACUGGAUGGAGAGUCACAGACACCAU